UAAGCCCAUGAAAACCAAAAAUUUCUUCUCCAGAUUUGCAGUCCGGAACGCGUUGGGCCU
RNAcentral lists this transfer RNA (60 nucleotides) under Laudakia nupta. RNAcentral describes it as "tRNA-Cys". Lineage: Eukaryota; Metazoa; Chordata; Lepidosauria; Squamata; Agamidae. The record is from RNAcentral.